RNAcentral lists this long non-coding RNA (346 nucleotides) under Physcomitrium patens. Its description in RNAcentral is "long non-coding RNA (PPAT_LNC001408)". Lineage: Eukaryota; Viridiplantae; Streptophyta; Bryopsida; Funariales; Funariaceae. The record is from RNAcentral.
AGGUAUUUAUUUCAAUAUUCUUUUAAGAUUCUUUUAUUAUUUUUUUAAGAUUUUUGUAAAAUUCUAUAUGAUUUUUUUAUGUUUCUUUUAUAAAUUUUUUUAGAUUCUAAUUGGAUUUGAUCAAGAUUUGAUUAGGAUUAUUAAGGUUCAAUUGGAAUUUAUUUAAGAUUCUAUUAGACUUGUUGAGACUUUGUUGUUGUAAUUUCUAUUUUACCUUCUAUAGUCAAGUAUCCAAUACAAUCUUCAAGAAGACUUUAAGUAAUACAAUAGCAUAUUGCUUGACAAGUUGUAACUUUGACAAAUUUUGUUGUUGAUUGCUUGCUAUGAAGGUAGAUAGAACAAGUAU